Molecule: ribosomal RNA, 135 nt
Filed under: uncultured Gammaproteobacteria bacterium
Lineage: Bacteria; Pseudomonadati; Pseudomonadota; Gammaproteobacteria
Description: partial 16S ribosomal RNA
Rfam family: Bacterial small subunit ribosomal RNA
Source: RNAcentral
GCAGCCAUGCCGCGUGCGGGAAGAAGGCCUUCGGGUUGUAAACCGCUUUUGUCAGGGAAGAAACGAGUUUCUCUAAUACAGAGACUUAAUGACGGUACCUGAAGAAUAAGCACCGGCUAACUACGUGCCAGCAGC